AUCAUGUUUUGUCGUCUUUCACUGGUUGGUUGCUCCCCGCAGUGUGUAGAUUUGUUGCGUGGCUUCUAGAGAAAGCGUAGUGGGGGAGAGCCAGAGAGAGAGAGAGAGAGAAGACCUGCAUCCGUCUGGGUUUGUGACUUUGAGAUCGACCGAGAGCACCUGGUACUCCUUCGUCAAUCUUUGAUCCUCCAAAAUUUGUUUUUGUUUUAGAAUUGAACCAUCUGUUUGUAUGAAAUAUCAAUCUGUAUUUGAUGUUUGAUUCUGGGUUCAAAUGGAUUAUGAAACAAGGAUCAAUUCUUUGGGAUCCUUCUUUUCUUCUGGCUUCAAUAGAUAUGAUCGCUUUCUUAAAAAAAGAUUGUGGGAACUGAUCAUCGGGGCAAAUUACAUGGCGGAGUAACAACAGGGUGUGCCCUUAACCCUAGAUAUUCUGCGUUUGAUGAUGAGAGCAUAGCAUAGGAUUUGGGACUGUUGAUCAUGUUGUGGUGAGUCAAAGAGGUUCAUGUGCUUCCUUCCAUUUUGGAUCUUUACUUGGGUUUCUAGAGUAUUUUUCUCAAUUGUAUUUGCACUUUGUUUUGUGCUCUUUCAUUUUCAGUUUCAUGUUCAUUGUAAUUUUUCUUUCAUAAGAGGUAAAGUUGAUGUCCCCCUCUUCAAUUGUACUUUGUUUAUGAAAAAAAAUGGAGUACUUUCUUUUCUUA
Molecule: long non-coding RNA, 695 nt
Organism: Rosa rugosa (rugosa rose)
Lineage: Eukaryota; Viridiplantae; Streptophyta; Magnoliopsida; Rosales; Rosaceae
Exons: 2
Source: RefSeq, a predicted model, not a curated record